UAACGGCGUGCCUCGGCAU
This 19-nucleotide non-coding RNA is filed under the name Arabidopsis thaliana (thale cress). Lineage: Eukaryota; Viridiplantae; Streptophyta; Magnoliopsida; Brassicales; Brassicaceae. The record is from RNAcentral.